This 465-nucleotide ribosomal RNA is filed under the name Vreelandella stevensii. RNAcentral's name for it is "partial 16S ribosomal RNA". It matches the Rfam family "Bacterial small subunit ribosomal RNA", at positions 338 to 795 of the family's 1533-position model. The record is from RNAcentral. Lineage: Bacteria; Pseudomonadati; Pseudomonadota; Gammaproteobacteria; Oceanospirillales; Halomonadaceae.
CCUACGGGUCGCUGCAGUGGGGAAUAUUGGACAAUGGGCGAAAGCCUGAUCCAGCCAUGCCGCGUGUGUGAAGAAGGCCUUCGGGUUGUAAAGCACUUUCAGUGGGGAAGAAAGCCUUGGGGCUAAUACCCUCGAGGAAGGACAUCACCCACAGAAGAAGCACCGGCUAACUCCGUGCCAGCAGCCGCGGUAAUACGGAGGGUGCGAGCGUUAAUCGGAAUUACUGGGCGUAAAGCGCGCGUAGGCGGUCUGAUAAGCCGGUUGUGAAAGCCCCGGGCUCAACCUGGGAACGGCAUCCGGAACUGUCAGGCUAGAGUGCAAGAGAGGAAGGUAGAAUUCCCGGUGUAGCGGUGAAAUGCGUAGAGAUCGGGAGGAAUACCAGUGGAGAAGGCGGCCUUCUGGACUGACACUGACGCUGAGGUGCGAAAGCGUGGGUAGCAAACAGGAUUAGAUACCCCAGUAGUC